RNAcentral lists this ribosomal RNA (253 nucleotides) under uncultured bacterium. RNAcentral's name for it is "partial 16S ribosomal RNA". It matches the Rfam family "Bacterial small subunit ribosomal RNA", at positions 524 to 776 of the family's 1533-position model. The record is from RNAcentral.
UACGUAGGGCGCAAGCGUUAUCCGGAAUUAUUGGGCGUAAAGAGCUCGUAGGCGGUUUGUCGCGUCUGCCGUGAAAGUCCGGGGCUCAACUCCGGAUCUGCGGUGGGUACGGGCAGACUAGAGUGAUGUAGGGGAGACUGGAAUUCCUGGUGUAGCGGUGAAAUGCGCAGAUAUCAGGAGGAACACCGGUGGCGAAGGCGGAUCUCUGGGCCUUACCUGACGCUGAGGAGCGAAAGCAUGGGGAGCAAACAGG